UACAUCAUGUUGAAACAUUGGUUCCCUUAUGAUCACUGAAGUUAAGCAAUGUCAAGCCUGGUCAGUAUCUAGGUAGGUAACUGCUUGGGAAUACCAGGUGCUGUAA
Molecule: non-coding RNA, 106 nt
Organism: Acanthosepion pharaonis
Lineage: Eukaryota; Metazoa; Mollusca; Cephalopoda; Sepiida; Sepiidae
Source: the annotation of a GenBank genome assembly